GAUGAGCGCUAGCUACAGGCUUAACACAUGCAAGUCGAGGGGCAGCAUGACGAUAGCUUGCUAUUGUUGAUGGCGACCGGCGCACGGGUGAGUAACGCGUAUCCAACCUGCCCUUGUCCACCGGAUAACCCGUCGAAAGGCGGACUAACACGGUAUGCAGUCCACAGCAGACAUCUAACGUGGACGAAAUGUGAAGGAGAAGGAUGGGGAUGCGUCUGAUUAGCUUGUUGGCGGGGUAACGGCCCACCAAGGCGACGAUCAGUAGGGGUUCUGAGAGGAAGGUCCCCCACAUUGGAACUGAGACACGGUCCAAACUCCUACGGGAGGCAGCAGUGAGGAAUAUUGGUCAAUGGGCGAGAGCCUGAACCAGCCAAGUAGCGCGCAGGAAGACGGCCCUAUGGGUUGUAAACUGCUUUUAUACGGGGAUAAAGUGAGUCACGUGUGGCUUAUUGCAGGUACCGUAUGAAUAAGGACCGGCUAAUUCCGUGCCAGCCGCCGCCGUAA
This 504-nucleotide ribosomal RNA is filed under the name uncultured bacterium. RNAcentral describes it as "partial 16S ribosomal RNA". It matches the Rfam family "Bacterial small subunit ribosomal RNA", at positions 28 to 523 of the family's 1533-position model. The record is from RNAcentral.